GUUUGUUUUGGCAGAGCUUAUACUAAAAUUGGAGUAAUACAAAUUAUUAGCAUGGUCUCUGGAAAAGGAUGGCAUGCACAUCCUGUGAUAGGUUCACAUUUUUA
This 104-nucleotide small nuclear RNA is filed under the name Myotis davidii. Lineage: Eukaryota; Metazoa; Chordata; Mammalia; Chiroptera; Vespertilionidae. The record is from RNAcentral.